CAGCCGCCGCGGGAAUACGAAGGGUGCAAGCGUUAAUCGGAAUUACUGGGCGUAAAGCGUGCGUAGGCGGUGAGUUAAGUCUGCUGUGAAAUCCCCGGGCUCAACCUGGGAAUGGCAGUGGAUACUGGCUCGCUAGAGUGUGUCAGAGGAUGGUGGAAUUCCCGGUGUAGCGGUGAAAUGCGUAGAGAUCGGGAGGAACAUCAGUGGCGAAGGCGGCCAUCUGGGACAACACUGACGCUGAGGCACGAAAGCGUGGGGAGCAAACAGGAUUAGAUACCCGGGUAGUCCCUGUCUCUUAUAC
RNAcentral lists this ribosomal RNA (301 nucleotides) under uncultured bacterium. RNAcentral's name for it is "partial 16S ribosomal RNA". It matches the Rfam family "Bacterial small subunit ribosomal RNA", at positions 509 to 807 of the family's 1533-position model. The record is from RNAcentral.